RNAcentral lists this ribosomal RNA (878 nucleotides) under Bacillus siamensis. RNAcentral's name for it is "bacterial SSU rRNA". It matches the Rfam family "Bacterial small subunit ribosomal RNA", at positions 61 to 919 of the family's 1533-position model. The record is from RNAcentral. Lineage: Bacteria; Bacillati; Bacillota; Bacilli; Caryophanales; Bacillaceae.
GUCGAGCGGACAGAUGGGAGCUUGCUCCCUGAUGUUAGCGGCGGACGUGGUGAGUAACACGUGGGUAACCUGCCUGUAAGACUGGGAUAACUCCGGGAAACCGGGGCUAAUACCGGAUGGUUGUUUGAACCGCAUGGUUCAGACAUAAAAGGUGGCUUCGGCUACCACUUACAGAUGGACCCGCGGCGCAUUAGCUAGUUGGUGAGGUAACGGCUCACCAAGGCAACGAUGCGUAGCCGACCUGAGAGGGUGAUCGGCCACACUGGGACUGAGACACGGCCCAGACUCCUACGGGAGGCAGCAGUAGGGAAUCUUCCGCAAUGGACGAAAGUCUGACGGAGCAACGCCGCGUGAGUGAUGAAGGUUUUCGGAUCGUAAAGCUCUGUUGUUAGGGAAGAACAAGUGCCGUUCAAAUAGGGCGGCACCUUGACGGUACCUAACCAGAAAGCCACGGCUAACUACGUGCCAGCAGCCGCGGUAAUACGUAGGUGGCAAGCGUUGUCCGGAAUUAUUGGGCGUAAAGGGCUCGCAGGCGGUUUCUUAAGUCUGAUGUGAAAGCCCCCGGCUCAACCGGGGAGGGUCAUUGGAAACUGGGGAACUUGAGUGCAGAAGAGGAGAGUGGAAUUCCACGUGUAGCGGUGAAAUGCGUAGAGAUGUGGAGGAACACCAGUGGCGAAGGCGACUCUCUGGUCUGUAACUGACGCUGAGGAGCGAAAGCGUGGGGAGCGAACAGGAUUAGAUACCCUGGUAGUCCACGCCGUAAACGAUGAGUGCUAAGUGUUAGGGGGUUUCCGCCCCUUAGUGCUGCAGCUAACGCAUUAAGCACUCCGCCUGGGGAGUACGGUCGCAAGACUGAAACUCAAAGGAAUUGACGGGGG